Molecule: long non-coding RNA, 2132 nt
Filed under: Olea europaea subsp. europaea
Lineage: Eukaryota; Viridiplantae; Streptophyta; Magnoliopsida; Lamiales; Oleaceae
Source: RNAcentral
ACGAUUAUUACAUUUUUAUUGAAUAGUCAAAUUUCAUGGAAUAAAAUGUUUAUAAAACAAUUUUCCAAAAUGGCAAACCAAACGUAAUUUUCUAAUUUUUCUGUUUUGAGAAUUAUUUUUUUUUAAAUGAUUAAACAAAAAGAAUUUUUAGCAAUUUUAAAACAGGCCCACAAAGCAAAAAAAUUGAAAAUAACUUCAAAAUUCAAAUCUAAAAACCAAAACACAAACCAAACAGCCCUAAUAUUUCCUUUAUUUCAAUUUUCUACUAAUCAAUUGUCAAAAGAAUAAUACUAAUUGCACAUACCUUUUAUACACUUUUUUGUACAAAAAUCAUGGUUUGGGUGGUCGAGGGACUCCAACAGAUAAAUUUUGCAAUAGGAGAAAAUUUCUCCCCUGUUUGUGAUCAUGCGUGCAAGGCCAAUUUCCAAACAUGAGCCAUAAUGGCUCGAGUCAUGCUCACCAUGGCCCAGUGUCAACCCCAUCAUACAUGUGUGGUUUAGCUUUCUCCUAUUCCACUAUCUCAUUGAAGAACCUAGAAUUCCAAAUUGGAACAGGUGCGUAAGUUUGUUGGAAUGUCAAGAAAAAACCUACUUCAAAGGAGAGAACAUUGAUAUGGGAAGUCGCGGAAUACUGGGUUAUGUCUGUAGCCACUAGGAAGGUGAUUUGGUUAAACAAACUUCUAUUCGAUCUUUGCAUUUAUUUCAUCGUUGCAAUGCCUUUUCAUUGUGAUAAUAACAACAAACACACACACACACACACACACACACACACACACACACACACACACAUUCACAAAGGCAAUUUCAACAUCUUCUCAAAAAUUCACCACACUUCAACAAAUUUUCUCCAUAAAUCACUUGACCAUUUAAGUUCCAACAUAAUUAUACAUCAUAUAAAACUAGUUUUAGAAACAUUAAAUUUCAAGAAAUCCAAGGGUCUAAACUUUGAAGAUUUUCAAUUUUUGAUACUUUUCUUGAUUUCUUCCACUUGAUUGAAAAAAUUUCAUAUGUUUGAUGGAGAACGGGAUUAGUUGUAAUGGAGGCUAUGUAUUAGUUGAAAACGUUGGUAUUAAACACAUAUAUGUCAAUUUUUUUUGUCCCUACAUAAAAUCAUGCCCAUUACAUGCUCCAAAAGAAAAAGGGGUAAUUAUAUUACCACUACAAAAUUUAGUAGUUACACCACAUUUUUUUAUUUACUUAUUUAGUCAUAAGUAAAAUUACAUAAAUGGGUUUUAAAUAUAUUUAUUAUAUAAAACAAUUUAUCGUGCCACCAUAAUCAUAUCAACUUACAAUACCUUUUUUCUGAAGGUCAUAUGAAAGAAAAUCGCCAUUAGCAGAGAGUUUGGGUACGAGGAGCUCGACCCGAGGAAGAAAAUUAUGUGGUGUUUAAUCCAUAGCAAGUCUACGACCCAAUGGUCGGCAUUCUGAUGCAGCAAGUUGCAGAAACUGUUCUAAUUGCUUCUUGAAUAAUACAAAUGUAGCCUGAGGGCACUAAUUUGACAUCAAGUAUUGGCAACUUUUUCAUCUGGCUGACUGUUGAAGAUUAUGAUUCGACUAGGAUAUGAGAAGGGAAAUGGGACAUAGGAUUGGGGGAGUCAUCUCCGCCUCAUUAUUUGGUAAAUCUUCAGUGAAAUUUAUUUUGUGGGUUUCUCUAUUUCUUUGGCUCAAUUCAGCACAAAUAAAUUGUGAUGUUGUUUUGGAAUCAAACACAAGUGUAGUUAAAAAAAAUUAUAUAUAUUUGGGGGCGGGAGACUGAUCUUUUGGUACAUGGACUAAUUAAGUUUUACUUUUUCCUUUUCCAUUUGUCUUUCUAUAUAUUUAGAAUAUCUUUUCUUACAAUGGAAGGUACAAAUCCUUUUUCUCAGCGCUUCUUAAUAAUUUAACUCACUUGUGGCUUUUUAUUUUCAGAGAGUUGGGGGUUCUUGGGAUGGAUAUUAGCUGAUAGAACUUUCCUUCACGAUGGAGAAAAUGAUAGGUAAAAAGAUGCAUUCAGGUUUGGAUUCUGAAUUCUGGAGUUUCUGGAUGGAAAAACACAAUAUCUUGAAAAAACCCAAGAAUCCUAGUAAUUUUGUGUUUUUUUCUAAAAACCCAGGAAGGGGGAAAAAGAUGAGAAAAAGGAGGAGGGAUAUUGGG